RNAcentral lists this ribosomal RNA (97 nucleotides) under uncultured eukaryote. RNAcentral's name for it is "partial small subunit ribosomal RNA". The record is from RNAcentral.
UCGCUCCUACCGAUUUCGAGUGAUCCGGUGAACCUUUUGGACCGCGCUGGUGACAGUGGCGGAAAGUCAAGUGAACCUUAUCACUUAGAGGAAGGAG